This 77-nucleotide transfer RNA is filed under the name Brucella intermedia 229E. Its description in RNAcentral is "Ochrobactrum intermedium 229E tRNA". It matches the Rfam family "tRNA". Rfam says of the family: Transfer RNA (tRNA) molecules are approximately 80 nucleotides in length. Their secondary structure includes four short double-helical elements and three loops (D, anti-codon, and T loops). Further hydrogen bonds mediate the characteristic L-shaped molecular structure. tRNAs have two regions of fundamental functional importance: the anti-codon, which is responsible for specific mRNA codon recognition, and the 3' end, to which the tRNAs corresponding amino acid is attached (by aminoacyl-tRNA synthetases). tRNAs cope with the degeneracy of the genetic code in two manners: having more than one tRNA (with a specific anti-codon) for a particular amino acid; and 'wobble' base-pairing, i.e. permitting non-standard base-pairing at the 3rd anti-codon position. The record is from Rfam by way of RNAcentral. Lineage: Bacteria; Pseudomonadati; Pseudomonadota; Alphaproteobacteria; Hyphomicrobiales; Brucellaceae.
GCCCUUAUAGCUCAGUUGGUAGAGCACCUGAUUUGUAAGUCAGGGGGGGGUCGGGAGUUCGAGUCUCUCUGGGGGGG